This 301-nucleotide ribosomal RNA is filed under the name uncultured bacterium. RNAcentral's name for it is "partial 16S ribosomal RNA". It matches the Rfam family "Bacterial small subunit ribosomal RNA", at positions 509 to 807 of the family's 1533-position model. The record is from RNAcentral.
CAGCCGCCGCGGGAAUACGUAGGGUGCAAGCGUUAAUCGGAAUUACUGGGCGUAAAGCGUGCGCAGGCGGUUCGCUAAGACAGAUGUGAAGUCCCCGGGCUUAACCUGGGAACUGCAUUUGUGACUGGCGGGCUAGAGUAUGGCAGAGGGGGGUAGAAUUCCACGUGUAGCAGUGAAAUGCGUAGAGAUGUGGAGGAAUACCGAUGGCGAAGGCAGCCCCCUGGGCCAAUACUGGCGCUCAUGCACGAAAGCGUGGGGAGCAAACAGGAUUAGAUACCCCGGUAGUCCAUGUCUCUUAUAC